This is a long non-coding RNA of Carcharodon carcharias (great white shark), 260 nucleotides long. RefSeq lists it as uncharacterized. Lineage: Eukaryota; Metazoa; Chordata; Chondrichthyes; Lamniformes; Lamnidae. The record is from RefSeq and is a predicted model, not a curated record. The transcript is spliced from 2 exons.
CGAUGGCUUUGCGGAAAGAGGCGCCUGUUUGUCCCGGAGAAGCGGAGUCAGAGCGAGGCGAAUAUUGGAAGGGGAGGAUUUAUAGAUGGGAAACUCAAAACUUCACAUCAAGAUUUAACUGAGUCUUUCCAUUCAUCAGGACCUGAAAAUCAUCAGCCUUUGAAUGUGGAAGGAGAAAUGUUUCUCUGCUCUGUCUGUGGGAGAAUAUUUCAGCUGGAGUGAAAGUGUUCCAGUGCACUGACUGUGGAAAGAGCUUUAAC